CCAGAGAUGGAUUGGUGCCUUCGGGAACUCUGACACAGGUGCUGCAUGGCUGUCGUCAGCUCGUGUCGUGAGAUGUUGGGCUAAGUCCGUAACGAGCGCAACCCUUGUCCUUAGUUACCAGCGCGUUAUGGUGGGCACUCUAAGGAGACUGCCGGUGACAAACCGGAGGAAGGUGGGGAUGACGUCAAGCCAUCAUGGCCCUUACGGCCUGGGCUACACACGUGCUACAAUGGUCGGUACAAAGGGUUGCCAAGCCGCGAGGUGGAGCUAAUCCCAUAAAACCGAUCGUAGUCCGGAUCGCAGUCUGCAACUCGACUGCGUGAAGUCGGAAUCGCUAGUAAUCGUGAAUCAGAAUGUCACGGUGAAUACGUUCCCGGGCCUU
RNAcentral lists this ribosomal RNA (382 nucleotides) under uncultured Pseudomonas sp. RNAcentral's name for it is "bacterial SSU rRNA". It matches the Rfam family "Bacterial small subunit ribosomal RNA", at positions 1000 to 1382 of the family's 1533-position model. Lineage: Bacteria; Pseudomonadati; Pseudomonadota; Gammaproteobacteria; Pseudomonadales; Pseudomonadaceae. The record is from RNAcentral.